This 568-nucleotide ribosomal RNA is filed under the name Pseudomonas sp. AP22. Its description in RNAcentral is "bacterial SSU rRNA". It matches the Rfam family "Bacterial small subunit ribosomal RNA", at positions 144 to 707 of the family's 1533-position model. Lineage: Bacteria; Pseudomonadati; Pseudomonadota; Gammaproteobacteria; Pseudomonadales; Pseudomonadaceae. RNAcentral also lists the same sequence under 22 other names. The record is from RNAcentral.
UAACGUUCGGAAACGGACGCUAAUACCGCAUACGUCCUACGGGAGAAAGCAGGGGACCUUCGGGCCUUGCGCUAUCAGAUGAGCCUAGGUCGGAUUAGCUAGUUGGUGAGGUAAUGGCUCACCAAGGCGACGAUCCGUAACUGGUCUGAGAGGAUGAUCAGUCACACUGGAACUGAGACACGGUCCAGACUCCUACGGGAGGCAGCAGUGGGGAAUAUUGGACAAUGGGCGAAAGCCUGAUCCAGCCAUGCCGCGUGUGUGAAGAAGGUCUUCGGAUUGUAAAGCACUUUAAGUUGGGAGGAAGGGCAUUAACCUAAUACGUUAGUGUUUUGACGUUACCGACAGAAUAAGCACCGGCUAACUCUGUGCCAGCAGCCGCGGUAAUACAGAGGGUGCAAGCGUUAAUCGGAAUUACUGGGCGUAAAGCGCGCGUAGGUGGUUUGUUAAGUUGGAUGUGAAAUCCCCGGGCUCAACCUGGGAACUGCAUUCAAAACUGACUGACUAGAGUAUGGUAGAGGGUGGUGGAAUUUCCUGUGUAGCGGUGAAAUGCGUAGAUAUAGGAAGGAAC